Macaca mulatta (Rhesus monkey) is the source of this 1848-nucleotide non-coding RNA. NCBI's taxonomy places the organism in Eukaryota, Metazoa, Chordata, Mammalia, Primates, Cercopithecidae. The record is from RefSeq and is a predicted model, not a curated record.
ACAACUACAACAACAAAACAGUCCCUUGGAAAAACUGGUCUGGUACUUUAUCUACAUGGUUCCUCUUACAGAAUUUCUGACUUUGUGGUCACUUCAUCGCAUGAUUUUGAAAAUGGAGUUUAUCUCAAUGAACUUCCUACAGAAUCAGAUUCCCAGAGGACGUAACUGAGAGAUACCAGGAGUGAUCUGAGAAAGCAGAUGUGUGAAUAGAAGUCCAAAAUGAAGGAGACAGCAGAAUCGGUUCCUGCUGAAGACUUCGAGGGAAGAAUCUGUCUCAAGCCCUCUCUUCUCAACUUGUAGGUAGCUCUCUUCUCCUUACGUCUCUUAUAUCAUCUGUUCCUAUGCACAACUCUUUGUUCACAUUCUCCCUUUUUAUAAGGACAUUAGGCAUAUUAGAUUAAGCCUGAUCUAAUAGCCUCAUUUUAACUUGAUUACUGCUCUAAAGACCUUAUCUCUAAACAACAUCACAUUCUAUGGUCCUGGGGCCUAAUAAUUCAACCUACUCAUUUUUGGGGGUUACAAAAUUCAACUCAUAACAAGCAAUGACUUGUUUCAGACUCUCUUUAAUAUUCUUGAGUUCCAACAAAGAGAAACAACCAUAAGAAAAAAAAAAAGGAAAACAAAAACCCUACUUUCCUGGAUCUUACUUCAACUUGGGGGAAAGGAAAAUAAACAAAUAAAUUAAUGUAUAUAAAACAGAUCAGCUACUGUUAAUAAAGAAACAUAAAGCCAAAAUGUAUAUAUAUGGAUGGGGGUGCUGUUUUGUAUCGAUGUUCAAAUAAAUUAAUGUAUAUAAAACAGAUCAGCUACUGUUAAUAAAGAAACAUAAAGCCAAAAUGUAUAUAUAUGGAUGGGGGUGCUGUUUUGUAUCGAUGUUCUGGAAAAUUCUUUCUGAUAAAGUAUCACUGAGUAUGCUAUCUAACCAUACCAUGAGAAACAGCCACAGAUAUUUAAGGUGGAAUUCCAUCAUAGGCAGAAGAAUAGACAGAGAGGUUCUGAAAGAAGAAUCAUUAUUGUCUAUAAAGAAUAUCAAAGGCUUCUCUUUUGCAAGUCUGGAACGAGUAAGAUGAGACUGAUACAAGAGAAUUUCUUACUGGUUAAAGGAAGCCAGAUCUUGCAGUACCAUGUUGGCCAUGGUGACUUAUUUAGUUUUCAUUCUAAGUGAAAUGGGAAACCAUUGCAAAUUUGGGUAAAGAAAGAAGAUAAAUAAUGUGACUUACAUCUAAAAAUAUUUCUUUUACUCUGGGAUAGUCAAAUAACUAACCAGAACAAAGGUGAAAGAUAGGACACCAAUUAGAAGGUUUCUGCAGUAGUCCAGUUGAGAGAUGAUGGUUGUUUGGUUUCAUAGAAUAGUGGUCCAGCUUUUGAGUAUAAAUCAAACUGUAGAUAUAUUUAUAAGUUAGAGCCAUUGGUAUUUUCUCUUACAUCGAUUUGCAGAAAUAAGUGAAAGAUGACUCAAAGAGAUUAGACUAAAAGAGUUGUCAAUCAGAUGGUUAUUAUUGAAAUAUAACAGGCAGGAAACAGGGGCUGGUUUGGGUGAGGAAAUCAUGUGUCUAGUAUUUGGAAAUGUUAAAUUUGGGAUGCCUGUUUUAGCUAUACAAGACAGCUUGCAGAUUUACACCCUGGUUUAAUGAGUCCGGAUUUUAGGAGAGAAAAUUCUGUGUACUAAAUGACUUGAGGAAAUCAAUUCAGAGAAGAGAAAAUUCAACAUGAAUCAUUAGUUUUAAACUAGUGUACAUUUUAACAGAUUGCCAAACUUCACCUCUAAAGUUUCUUAAAUAUGCUAAAGUUUGAGAAGCACUGGUCUAGACAAUUUUCACCAAACAUUCUGUAGCCACAAUAACCUCU